GAGUUUGAUCGUGGCUCAGGAUGAACGCUGGCGGCGUGCCUAAUACAUGCAAGUCGAACGAACAGAUAAGGAGCUUGCUCCUUUGACGUUAGCGGCGACGGGUGAGUAACACGUGGGUAACCUACCUAUAAGACUGGGAAUAACUCCGGGAAACCGGGGCUAAUGCCGGAUAACAUGUUGAACCGCAUGGUUCUACAGUGAAAGACGGUCUUGCUGUCACUUAUAGAUGGACCCGCGCCGUAUUAGCUAGUUGGUGGGGUAACGGCCUACCAAGGCGACGAUACGUAGCCGACCUGAGAGGGUGAUCGGCCACACUGGAACUGAGACACGGUCCAGACUCCUACGGGAGGCAGCAGUAGGGAAUCUUCCGCAAUGGGCGAAAGCCUGACGGAGCAACGCCGCGUGAGUGAUGAAGGUCUUCGGAUCGUAAAGCUCUGUUGUUAGGGAAGAACAAAUGUGUAAGUAACUGUGCAUAUCUUGACGGUACCUAACCAGAAAGCCACGGCUAACUACGUGCCAGCCGCCGCGGUAAU
This 533-nucleotide ribosomal RNA is filed under the name uncultured microorganism. Its description in RNAcentral is "bacterial SSU rRNA". It matches the Rfam family "Bacterial small subunit ribosomal RNA", at positions 9 to 524 of the family's 1533-position model. The record is from RNAcentral.